GCCAGCGUGGUGUAGUGGUUUGAACAAUAGACUAUGACUCUGGAGAAAAGGGUUCGAAUCCCCACUCAGCA
Non-coding RNA from Phrynosoma platyrhinos (Desert horned lizard), 71 nucleotides. Lineage: Eukaryota; Metazoa; Chordata; Lepidosauria; Squamata; Phrynosomatidae. The record is from the annotation of a GenBank genome assembly.